UUUUGGAUUUUUGACGUUUUAAUAUCAAAUUCUUUGCUCAGACAGACUCCAUGGAAAGCGAAGCGUUUGCGGGUUUCCUCCCCCCCGGGCUGGCAAGCCCGGGGGGAAGCAACAGGUAUAGGUACGCAGGGUGGAUUUCAAACGGAACACGCGUUGAAAUUUAGUUAAUGAUCCUUCCGCAGGUUCACCUACGGAAA
RNAcentral lists this unclassified non-coding RNA (197 nucleotides) under uncultured fungus. RNAcentral describes it as "sequence contains ITS1". The record is from RNAcentral. Lineage: Eukaryota; Fungi.